AGUAACACGUAGGUAACCUGCCCAUGUGUCCGGGAUAACUGCUGGAAACGGUAGCUAAAACCGGAUAGGUAUACAGAGCGCAUGCUCAGUAUAUUAAAGCGCCCUUCAAGGCGUGAACAUGGAUGGACCUGCGGCGCAUUAGCUAGUUGGUGAGGUAACGGCCCACCAAGGCGAUGAUGCGUAGCCGGCCUGAGAGGGUAAACGGCCACAUUGGGACUGAGACACGGCCCAA
This 232-nucleotide ribosomal RNA is filed under the name uncultured bacterium. RNAcentral's name for it is "partial 16S ribosomal RNA". It matches the Rfam family "Bacterial small subunit ribosomal RNA", at positions 109 to 334 of the family's 1533-position model. The record is from RNAcentral.